AGUGAACGCUGGCGGCAGGCCUAACACAUGCAAGUCGAACGGCAGCACAAGAGAGCUUGCUCUCUGGGUGGCGAGUGGCGGACGGGUGAGGAAUGCAUCGGAAUCUGCCCAUUUGUGGGGGAUAACCUCGGGAAACCGGGACUAAUACCGCAUACGACCUACGGGUGAAAGCAGGGGAUCUUCGGACCUUGCGCAGAUGGAUGAGCCGAUGCCGGAUUAGCUAGUUGGAGGGGUAAAGGCCCACCAAGGCGACGAUCCGUAGCUGGUCUGAGAGGAUGAUCAGCCACACUGGGACUGAGACACGGCCCAGACUCCUACGGGAGGCAGCAGUGGGGAAUAUUGGACAAUGGGCGCAAGCCUGAUCCAGCCAUGCCGCGUGUGUGAAGAAGGCCCUCGGGUUGUAAAGCACUUUUGUUGGGAAAGAAAAGCAGCCGGUUAAUACCCGGUUGUCAUGACGGUACCCAAAGAAUAAGCACCGGCUAACUUCGUG
This 490-nucleotide ribosomal RNA is filed under the name uncultured bacterium. Its description in RNAcentral is "partial 16S ribosomal RNA". It matches the Rfam family "Bacterial small subunit ribosomal RNA", at positions 29 to 507 of the family's 1533-position model. The record is from RNAcentral.